GUGGCGAGGAAAGUGAGCAGCUCUUUGCAGAGCGAACCGGCGCUGCCGAGUCUUCCUUGGCACAGGUCUCAUGUAGCGAAAUCUGGACGGAGGGUGGAAAGAGGGCUGGGCAAGAUGGGGAAUGGGCGGAAAGUGAGAAGGAAAAGCUACAAGAAUAAAACACCCGGUCGCCAACCCCACCUCAGCUGGGCUUUAGCGGUGCACUGCAGGCAGUUGGAUUUUCGCAGGCAGGCUACGCAAAAAGGGCGCAAAGAGCCCUCUCUCGGGCGGGAAGUUGCCACUUGGCUACUCUUCGCAUCUCCGGGCCUGAAGCCCAAGGUUUCUUCCGCCAGAGGAUGAGGGAAUCCGAAGGAGCCAAAUGGCGGCCUUGGCGAGGGAGCAGGAGCUAUGGACGGUGGGGGAAGAAAGAAGGAAAACCAGUGCGCGCCAUAUGCCCGUCUGUUACUGCGUACGGAAGCAAAACUACGUAACCCUAGGCUUGACAACAGCACAGAACUCGUCAAGCCAAGGGCCAGAGCACGAGAAAGGAAGCCCUGAAAUCGGGUUGGGUGCUGCCCCACACCAGCGAUUAGGGCUGGUGCAGGAGGUGGUGGAGGGGAGUGUUUGUCUGCCCUGUUCUGUACACUGCAGGGCUAUGAGUUUAUGGGGCUAUUCAAAGGUACUCUUUCCAAUGGCUUAGAAGAAAGCCAGCGAACGAGCGAUAAGCUAGAGCGCGGCGGCGGCGCCUGGACUACGAGGCAAUCAGUCUCUGGGACUGUGACACGAAAAGAUGGCGCUGACUCACUUCCCCUCCCCCUUCCCCUCCAGCAGCCUCCUUCGCUCACGGCUUCCUCUUCCUCCCCAGCAGCUUCGCCAGGCCUGUUUCAAGGCUCCCCCUUUUGCAGCCGGACACCAUUAUUAGCUCGAGGUCCUGGGUCCGCGCAGCACCUAAAGGAUGACCUAUGUUGGCCAAUGGUUUGCCUGAUGAUGCUGAUUCCUUUUCUAAGGGGCUUGCUUUGACUUCCUCCUCAGAAAGGAUGCCUGCCAUGUCCUAAUUGAGCCUGCUUGCUGACACUCUUGCAGCUUAAAACACCUUGAUAGCACUGUUAAAAACUUCUCAGUAUCUCAUCUGGUGGAUAUCCUUAAUUUGAAAUGGUAAACUUCAGAUCCUAAAUCAGCUAUUGGGAGAAAGACAUACUGAAAUAAAUGUAAUCAGGUACAAUAGAUAAGUAAAUAGAGAUCUAAGUUCUGCAUUUAUGUCCUGUGAAAAGUUAUACAGAAAGAUGUUGUAAGAACAACCUGAAAUUUAAUGGAUACUUUUGCUUCAAUCCUUGAAAAAAGUACACUGAAUUACAAAAUCUCACCAAGAUAUUACAAAAUAGUCAAUUUGUGUGGGCUAUUUUCCUUGAUUGUUAGCUUGGAAUUGCAUGUCACAAUAUUUUUCAAAAGAACAAAUAUCUACACUUCGUAGAAAUAAUUACCACAUAGUUAUUCAUUGGUAAAUACAAUGAUUUCUUAAUUUACUUGAAUAUUGAACAACUUUCACAUGAGAUUUUCUCAGAUUCCCCUCACAAGUAUGUAUCAAAGGCUGUGAUGUUAACUUUGGAAGAAAGGUGCUACUCCGUCUUCUACACCCAAAAUAAAUGCUCUUCAUUUAUAUUUAUCAUCUGCAUUCACACGCUAUGUUAAGCCAUAUGUUGGAUUCUUUCUUGGUUUGCCAUCUUCUCUAAAUCCAUUGAAAACCUUACUUAAUGCUAAGUGAAUUGUGUGAAUCUAGUUACUUGUGGCUCCUUUAAUUUACUUUGAUUAAAGAAACUAUGGUUUAUUAUGAUAUGUGAACCCAUUCAUUUUCCACUAAUUUUUUCCUUCACGUGCUUGGGGAAGUGACUUUCUAGCCAUCUUUAUAACUUCUUGAUUUGCUAAAAAAUAAAUGUGAAUUGAGUUUCCAGAAUUUUAAUUAUUGUGCUAGAAAUUAUGUUGUUUCUAAGUGUUAGGAAGCAGAUAUUUCCAUUUCAGACAAUUUACUAUUAUUUAAGAUAUAACACAGAGGUGGCAUACCUGUCAGCCCAAAGCUCUUUUUGCAAUUAUUUUGAGGCAAAAGUUAGCCUGAACAUAUACAAUAUGUUUAUUAAAAGACAAAAGGUCCAAAGUACUCCUAAGCUCUUAAAAAUACUAUUUUUGUUAAAA
This is a long non-coding RNA of Thamnophis elegans (Western terrestrial garter snake), 2166 nucleotides long. RefSeq lists it as uncharacterized. The record is from RefSeq and is a predicted model, not a curated record. Lineage: Eukaryota; Metazoa; Chordata; Lepidosauria; Squamata; Natricidae. The transcript has 3 exons.